GUGGUCACUUUGGCAGCACGUAUACCAAAAUUGGAAUGAUACGGAGAAGAUUAGCAGGGCCCCCACGCAAGGAUGACAAUUUUUUUUCUUCUUCUUCUUUUUUUUUU
Molecule: small nuclear RNA, 107 nt
Organism: Pan troglodytes (chimpanzee)
Lineage: Eukaryota; Metazoa; Chordata; Mammalia; Primates; Hominidae
Source: Ensembl